RNAcentral lists this ribosomal RNA (856 nucleotides) under uncultured bacterium. RNAcentral describes it as "bacterial SSU rRNA". It matches the Rfam family "Bacterial small subunit ribosomal RNA", at positions 87 to 946 of the family's 1533-position model. The record is from RNAcentral.
ACUAGAGACCGGCGCACCCUUGUGUAACGCGUAUGCAAUCUACCUUUUGCAGAGGGAUAGCCCAGAGAAAUUUGGAUUAAUACCUCAUAGUAUAGUACUUUGGCAUCAAGGAACUAUUAAAGUCACAACGGCAAAAGAUGAGCAUGCGUCCCAUUAGCUAGUUGGUAAGGUAACGGCUUACCAAGGCGACGAUGGGUAGGGGUCCUGAGAGGGAGAUCCCCCACACUGGUACUGAGACACGGACCAGACUCCUACGGGAGGCAGCAGUGAGGAAUAUUGGACAAUGGGCGCAAGCCUGAUCCAGCCAUGCCGCGUGCAGGAUGACGGUCCUAUGGAUUGUAAACUGCUUUUGUACAGGAAGAAACACCCCGACGUGUCGGGGCUUGACGGUACUGUAAGAAUAAGGAUCGGCUAACUCCGUGCCAGCAGCCGCGGUAAUACGGAGGAUCCAAGCGUUAUCCGGAAUCAUUGGGUUUAAAGGGUCCGUAGGCGGCUUUAUAAGUCAGUGGUGAAAUCUCCCCGCUCAACGGGGAAACGGCCAUUGAUACUGUAAGGCUUGAAUUAUUAGGAAGUAACUAGAAUAUGUAGUGUAGCGGUGAAAUGCUUAGAGAUUACAUGGAAUACCAAUUGCGAAGGCAGGUUACUACUAAUGGAUUGACGCUGAUGGACGAAAGCGUGGGUAGCGAACAGGAUUAGAUACCCUGGUAGUCCACGCCGUNAACGAUGGAUACUAGCUGUUGGGGGCAACUUCAGUGGCUAAGCGAAAGUGAUAAGUAUCCCACCUGGGGAGUACGUUCGCAAGAAUGAAACUCAAAGGGAAUGACGGGGGCCCCGCACAGCGGUGGAGCAUGUGGUU